This 353-nucleotide long non-coding RNA is filed under the name Durio zibethinus. Its description in RNAcentral is "long non-coding RNA (DZIB_LNC002235)". The record is from RNAcentral. Lineage: Eukaryota; Viridiplantae; Streptophyta; Magnoliopsida; Malvales; Malvaceae.
UAAAAAUGUAUCUAAAAGCAAAUAAGUAUGAAACACAGCGAAAAAUUAAAAUCGUGCGAUAAUUGUGCGAAUGGUUUCUAUGCCCAGAAUUGUUCAAAACCAAAGCCUGAUGUUGUGAACUUCAAAAUCCUUUGUAUAACUUACACUUAACACUAUGAAAAACAACAAAAAAUUAAAAUCACGCGAAAAUUGUUCGAAUGUUUUUUUAUGCCCAGAAUUGUUCGAAAACGAAGUCUGAUAUUUUGAGCUUCAAAAUCCUUUCUAAGUUACGCUUAACACUGUGAAAAAUUAAAAACCAAUGCUAGUUUUACCUUGUUUCAUUGUUUGAGCAAGUUUAAAACAUUCGAUUCAAU